This 4741-nucleotide long non-coding RNA is filed under the name Homo sapiens (human). RNAcentral's name for it is "HSALNT0027955". Lineage: Eukaryota; Metazoa; Chordata; Mammalia; Primates; Hominidae. The record is from RNAcentral.
CUACCCUGAAGGGCUGUUUGGAGGUUACAGGGCCUAGUAGAUAUAAAAGUCCUUCGGAAAUUGGAAAAUGUUGUCCCUAUAGAAGACAAUACUUUGAUGACAGUAGAGCUCCCCAGCUAAGGGGCUCUCAGGCCUGACACAUCAAAGGAGAGGAGAGCAGGGCAGGAUGAAUCGAUAUCCCGGAACACUCAUUCGGGUUCCAUUCAACCAGCAGUCUUUCCCUCCCUGGCCACACAGCCUCUCCGAGACAUGCAAUCCUUAGUAAGCCACUUCACUUCUUCAAGCAUUACCACCCCUCACCAAUCUAAUGGACACAGUGAUAUCUACUUCUCCCAGCAUGUGAACUUGUGGCCAAGACCAUUCACAAAAUGCACACGUGAUUUGAAAGAAAGAAGCUCAGCACACAUGGCAUGCUAAAAUAUUAUCCCUGCCCCGUCCUUCCCGGUGUAUGAACUAGGUGAACUCAGGCAAGGCAUAUGACCACUCUGAGCCUCAGUGUCCUCUUCUAUAAAUGGAUAUUAAAGUACUUAAUCCCCGGGCCCACAUGAAAUGAAUAACCUAAUAAAGAAAGUACCCAGCACCAUCCCUGGUCCAUGGCAGCUUCACAAGUGGUGAUCUCAUUUCUCCCCUCUCAUUCCUGUCCCCUACUCUGCCCCCAAGGUGGUUUCAACCCUUACGUUGCUGCCCCAGACCCUUGGUAAACUACAAAGCAACCUGAAAAGCUUCUUCAAUCUCCUUUAUCCAGGGUUUAAUUAUGCCUUUCCUUGAUUAGGAAAAGCUAUGUCUAGUACCUGUAUACUCCUCUUGCUCCAGUAAAAAGGCCAGAACUAGUCAGCCAUGGCCAAGAACAACUGCACAGGGAUAUUGACACACCAUUUCCUGCUGGGAAACCAUCCUGUGCAUCGUCAGGUGAAGAAAACGAGGCUCAGAGAAGCUCAGGGAUUUGCCACAGGCUGCACUUCUUGACCACAUUCAAACCAGACCUCAAACCAGGUCCUCAGAUGCUGAAUUUGUCUUUCAAGCAGAAGGAUUUCACUAAGAAACCAUGGUUUCCUCUUUAUCGUAUUAACCCUGGCUGCACAGGAGAGGAGGCAAUACCAAACCAUGUGUGCUUAUUUCCCAGGGCCGCUGGAACAAAGCACCACAAACCCAGGGGCUUGGAACAGCGGAGAUUUAUUCUGUUCUCCCAAUUCUAAGGAUAAAUGAGGGUUUGAAUGUUCUCCCAGUCCUAAAGGAUAAAAGUCCUUGAGGUGUCAUCUGGCCAUGCUCCCUCUUGAAGCCUCCGGGAGAGGAUCCUUCCUGGUCUCCGCCAGCUCCUGGCAGCCCCAGGGAUUCCUUGGCUUGUCACAGCCCCACUCCAAUCUCUGCCUCUGUCUUCCCUUUCUGUUACCAUGUACAAAUUUCCCUCCUCUAAUAAAGACACCAGCCAUAUUGCAGUAGGGGUCCACGUGCUCCAAUGUAACCCCAACUUAGCUGAUGACAUCUUCAAUGACUCUAUGGCCCUAUUUCCAAAUAAAGCCACAUUCUGAAGUAGUGAGGGUUAGGAUGUCGACAAUAAUUCUGGGAGACAUAGUUUUUUGUUUGUUUUUUUGAGACAGAGUCUCACUCUGUCGCCUAGGGUGGAGUGCAGUAGGGCUAUCUCAGCUCACUGCAACCUCUGCCUCCCAGGUUCAAGAGAUUCUCCUGCCUCAGCCUCCCCAGUAGCUGGGACUACAGGUGUGCACCACCACACAGGCUAAUUUUUGUGUUUUUAGCAGAGACGGGGUCUCAACAUGUUGGCCAGGCUGGUCUCAAACUCCUGAACUCAAGUAAUCUGCCCCCAUCAGCCUCCCAAAGCUCUAGGAUUACAGGUGUGAGCCACCACUCCUGGCCUGGGGGACGUAAUUCAAUCUGUGACAACACACCAAAUGGAAAAAUCUUGGUUAUGAGAGCUGGGCAAGAUUCAAUGAAUCCUGGCCUUCUUCUCCCACUGCAAGGACUAUGGCUGCCUGUCUGUUGCAGGGCCUUCUGGCUCAGGACUGCAGAGCAUGCACAGGAGAGAGCACUGGGCAGGGAGUCUGCAGCAGCAAUGGGACCAGAGCCAUCCUGUUGCUAGCUGCUUUUGAAAACUUCAUUGGCAAAUUACCUUUUCAUCCAAGGUUUUAUGAGGUUUUCUUUUCCUCGGAAUCCAAAUGAUGAUAUUCCUUUGGUUCAGAAAAUAUUUCCUGAGCAAUUGCUGUGUGUUAGCUCCUAUACAGAGCACUGGACAUACAGCAAUGGAUAAAAUGCUGUCUGCUCCCACUCCCACUCGGAGCUCAGACUCCAGAGGCACAAGCAUUUGAGUGAGUAGAUAAUUAAACCACUGAGAGAUAAAUGCUGCAAUAAAAGGGUGUUCUGAAUGCCACAGAGUACAGAACAGCAACAAGCUGAUCUCUGAGUUAUCGUCAUCACUCACAUUACCAAGCUCGAUCUGAGCCAAAAUGGAUAUAUUGCCUCCAGCGAAUAUGCACAAAUCUGGGUUUCUUUUGACAUUAACAGGUGGCUUGCUGCAGAAGCACACGGUACUCUAGAUAGGUAAUGAGGCUCAAAAGCUCACUACUAGCGACUUCAGCACUGCACACUAUGGAGCCAGAGAAGAAACGGGCAAGUGCAGGCCAAGCAGCCCACAAUAUCCCAGUGCAACAUGGCCUUAUGGUACCUACUUUCCUCUUGGUCACAGCAGGGCCUUAUACCACUGGAAAAUUGAAAGCCCUUAAAAUGCUUCUAUCAUAUAUAGCAAACAACCCCCAGGGCACAAGUGCUGCAGCGUUCAGGGCCCUGGAGGCAACUGCAUGAAUGGAGCCUCAGGUUUGAGAUUCCAAGUCCUCCCGUGUAGAUGGGCUGUCUAUAGCAGAGCCCUGGCAAUGCCACCCUGGUGACAGCUGCGGGGACGGCCAUGUGAGGCAGCCCAUCCUAUAGGCGUUUUUAUCGGAGAUGACAGCUUCCCUACUGCACAGCCCACAUCCCACGGGAGGCAAGGAGCAGCUGGUCAUCCACAAAAGAACUUUGAUGUCGAUAUCAAUUCUCUAGACCAUGAACAGUCAGUUCACACGCAAAAAAAAAAAAAAAAAAAAAAAGGGAAGCAAAGAGUCAAUAAGUGCAUGAAAAAAUGUUCAGGCUAUCUCAUACUUAAGGAAAUGCAAAUUAAAACAACAACAGGUUUUCCGAUUUGUGUUUAUUAAAGUAACUCUAUAUACAUGUAUAUACUUGCCUGUGCUCAACUCAGGAAAGAUGCAAUAAAAUAAGUGGUGCCUGGAAAAGAAAUUUGACAAUAUAUACCACCACCCCCUAAAAAUGCACAAAAUUUGUUCUAUUAAGCUAUAUUAAGUAAAUAAUCUAAAUAUGUUUUAUACAGAAAGGUGGCUGUCCUAGAGCUACUUACAAUAAAACAAAACAGGAAACAACAUAAUUGUCCAAAACAGGGAAAAGAUUAAAUAAUGGUACAUCGAUAAAGUAAAAUAUUAUGAUGUCAUUAAAAACUACAUUUUUUAGACAAUUUAAUAAAUGUGAAAAUGUUUAUUAAAAUAGAAAAGGUAGGCUGGGCUCUGUGGCUCAUGCCUGUAAUCCCAGUAUUUUGGGAGGCCGAAGUGGGUAGAUUACUUGGGGCCAGGAGUUCAAGACCAGCCUGGCCAAUAAGGCAAAACUGUCUUUACUAAAACUGUCUCUACUAAAAAUACAAAAAUUAGCCAGGCAUGGUGGUACAUUUCUGUAAUCCCAGCUACUUAGGAGGCUGAGGAACGAGAAUCAUUUGAACCGGGAGGCAGAGGUUGCAGUAUGCCGAGAUUGCACUCCAGCCUGGGUGACAGAGCCAGACCCUGUCUAAAACAAAAAGGGCAAAAGAAUUACACAAAUUAUAUUUACCAUUUGAUACUUACCAUGUGAAUAUGUGUUUUUAAAAGAUUGGAAAAAUAUACUAAAACAGUAAUAGUGACUGCUUCUGUAAGUGGGAUUAUAGAUUAGAUGAGAAAUGUUUCUUCUUUGUAAUUUCCAACUAUUCUUCAAUAACUAUAGACUUUUGCGCUAGUUUGAAAAAUGUUUAUAGUAAUUGAACUUGUUUUAAAAAUAUAUGGGUUUGUUUACAUGUUUCAUUACUCUGACAGCACUCAGCUAUUGCCCAACAAGGAAUAUUAAUGUAGGUGAAAGAGAUAGUGAUGACUUCUUCAAAAUUUUCACUCAAUACAUUUGAUCUUUGUGUUAAAUUGUUGGUUGUCAGUCGGAUGCAGUAUCUCACAUCUGUAAUCCCAGGACUUUGGGAGGCUAAGGUAGGAAAAUCACUUGAGCUCAGGAAUUCAAAACCAGCCUAGGUGAUAUAGCGAGACAUCGUCUCUAAAAGAAAUCAAAAAAAUUAGCCAGAUACGGAGGCAUGCACCUGUGGUCCCAACUACUUGCAAAGCUGAGGGUGGGAGUAUGGCUCAAGCCUGGGAAGUCAAAGCUUCAGUGAGCUGUGAUUGCACCAUUGCACUCCAGCCUAGGCAACAGAGGAAGAUCCCGUCUCAAAACAAAACAAAAAACAAAACAAAAAAAGACUGGUUGUUGUUGUACUAUUUCCUAAAUAUUUUGCUGCAUCUGGGUCAACUGAAAUACUGCUAACUUUUCGAGGCCCUGCUCAUGUUUUAUCUCUUACUGAAAGACUCCACAAAAAUUCAGUCCACAGGAACUUCCUCCCCUCCUUGGAAAUUUUUUGAGCGUGACAUACUGUAUAAUCUAAUGAGCAGUAAAUAUA